RNAcentral lists this non-coding RNA (63 nucleotides) under Chromobacterium haemolyticum. The record is from RNAcentral. Lineage: Bacteria; Pseudomonadati; Pseudomonadota; Betaproteobacteria; Neisseriales; Chromobacteriaceae.
AUGCGAAACCGCCGCGAGGCGGUCUGCUGGGCGUGGUUGCCUGGUACUGAUGAGCAGCCGAGG